Molecule: transfer-messenger RNA, 400 nt
Filed under: Bacteroidales bacterium
Lineage: Bacteria; Pseudomonadati; Bacteroidota; Bacteroidia; Bacteroidales
Rfam family: transfer-messenger RNA
About the family: Bacterial tmRNA, also known as 10Sa RNA or SsrA, is named for its dual tRNA and mRNA-like properties.
Source: RNAcentral
GGGGCUGACCGGUUUUGACAGCGGGUAGAAGAGGCAAGUAAGCAUGCAGGGUUUUGAUUGUUGACCCUUAUAAAUAAUAAUCAAAAUUUAAUUGGCGAAAAUAAUUACGCUCUUGCUGCGUAACCGAAUUACAGUAGGUUAAUCGCUUAAUCCCCGCACUAGGUGCAGGGACAAGACAUCGCCCGGGUGCCGUUGUUUCGGGGCGGCCCGAUCAGGUGGUGCAGAAUAAACCGGAACUAACAGGAAUAUAGCUUCGCUGUUCCUGUGAAAAUUAAGAAGCUAAGAUAAUGGUCGGUGGUCCUGAUCCUGCUAUUAUUCGAAAAUCAAGUCAGGACUAAGCAUGUAGAAAGCUUGUGGCUUCCUCGUUUGGACGCGGGUUCGACUCCCGCCAGCUCCACAA